CUUUGGAACUCUAAGUACUGAUGCCGGAGUUCCUGUGUUCCCUUUCCUGUGCCUCCUUCCCUUCCCAUUUUUAGAAAUAUCCUUAAUGAACAAGCUAAGAUUGUCUUGUUCAUUGAGCACAGACCACUCUAAGGAAGGUAGCAAAGUCCAAAAGUAGUGGAUGGGAGAGACCGUAAAAAGCAAGCUGAAUUCAUUGAUAAGGUUUUUCCCCCAAUGUCAUCUGCACUGUAUUUCACCCACAAGGGAAUCCUUUUUCCCAAUAAAUGGUAUGAUGUGGAAACACUCAACUUUGUGGAAAAUGAAUUCCAACUGUUGGACGACGAUGUACUGAAUGUUACUUAUCCUAAAUCAGGUACCAAUUGGAUGCAGGAGAUUUUGGGCUUAAUCUGGCACAAUGGGGACCCAUCAUGGGUUCACAGCUCGUUUGUGUGGGACCGGUCACCAUGGAUAGGAACUACUGAUGGUAUGAAGAUUGUCUUGGCAUCUCCUCCACCCAGACUCAUGGCUUCUCACAUGUCAUUCCAGCUUUUCCCCAAGUCAUUU
This is a long non-coding RNA of Elgaria multicarinata webbii, 543 nucleotides long. RefSeq lists it as uncharacterized. The transcript is spliced from 3 exons. The record is from RefSeq and is a predicted model, not a curated record. Lineage: Eukaryota; Metazoa; Chordata; Lepidosauria; Squamata; Anguidae.